This 465-nucleotide ribosomal RNA is filed under the name uncultured bacterium. RNAcentral describes it as "partial 16S ribosomal RNA". It matches the Rfam family "Bacterial small subunit ribosomal RNA", at positions 28 to 507 of the family's 1533-position model. The record is from RNAcentral.
GACGAACGCUGGCGGCGUGCUUAACACAUGCAAGUCGAACGGAAAGGCCCUGCUUGCAGGGUACUCGAGUGGCGAACGGGUGAGUAACACGUGGGUGAUCUGCCCUGCACUUCGGGAUAAGCCUGGUCAACUGGGUCUAAUACCGGACAGGAGCCAUUUUUAGCGUGAUGGUUGGAAAGUUUUGUCGGUUUAGGCUGAGCUCGCGACCUAUCAGCUUGUUGGUGGGGUAAUGGCCUACCAAGGCGGCGGCGGGUAGCCGGCCUGAGUGGGUGGACGGCCACAUUGGGUCUGAGGUGCGGCACAGACACCGACGGGUGGGAGAAGUGGGGAAUCUUGCACAAUGGGCGCAGGCCUGAUGAAGCGAGGCCGCGGGGCGGAUGACGGUCUUAGGGUUGAAAACUCCAUUCGCAAGGGACGGAGCUUUUUGUGACGGUACCUAGAUAAGAAGCACCGGCUAACUACGUG